Molecule: long non-coding RNA, 523 nt
Organism: Helianthus annuus (common sunflower)
Lineage: Eukaryota; Viridiplantae; Streptophyta; Magnoliopsida; Asterales; Asteraceae
Exons: 3
Source: RefSeq, a predicted model, not a curated record
AAAUUCAUUUGUAUUCCCAAAAUAAAUAAUAGGCUUUUGGUUUCAAACACUCAACCUUGCACACCACCUCAAACCCAUCUCACACUCUCUCUGUUCUAUUAUAACACCCUCGCCGGAACCGGAGAUCUCCGGCCGACUACUGUCACCGGCUCCUUUUCCUUCAAACACCCCCACCUCUCGACACCCUUACACUCGCAACACGUUUCGACAUUAUAAUACCUCACCUCAUUCUGUUUCGGGCACCUCUCAACCGCACUCUAUCUUGCAUUCCCGCUCCCGAACACACCUUCUGAAUAAGCGAACAAGAAACAAUACAUCGGAGGUAUACGGAUGCCGCCGGAGAUCGCAAAGACAUCGGAGAACAACCGGAAUGCGGCACGCCUCGGAUAAUCGCCCUUGUUCAUUUUCUUGGAUUUUUCCCAAUCUUACUCGUACGCUACUUACAAGAAAUCGCAACGCAACCAAGGUUGAGGAUGAUGAUGCUAUGAAAAGAAGUAGCGUUGAUGCCUAGAUACACAUAUAG